AAAAAUCAUCUUUUAUUUGUCAUAGAAAACCUGCAUUAUGGUCCUAUAAACUAACCCUCUUUUAUUCUUCAACACCUCUCUCAUCUUGCUCUCUUCAGGCACAGCUCCUUUGCUCUUCACUAUCUCCAAUAACUCUUUUCCUUCUUCCUCCAUCCCUGCCUUCACCAACCCUUCAAAACUACCCAAACAAGUAGCUGCAUUGGGCUUCAUUCCCCUUUUCUCCACCAUCUCCAACACAUACUUUUUCG
This 248-nucleotide unclassified non-coding RNA is filed under the name Hevea brasiliensis (rubber tree). Lineage: Eukaryota; Viridiplantae; Streptophyta; Magnoliopsida; Malpighiales; Euphorbiaceae. The record is from RNAcentral.